AGAGAGAGACAUGCGCGCAUAUCAAUAAGCGGAGGAAAAGAAACUAACAAGGAUUCCCCUAGUAACGGCGAGUGAAGCGGGAAGAGCUCAAAUUUGAAAUCUUAAAGGGUUUCCCUUUACGAAUUGUAGUUUAAAGAAGUGUUUUCUGUUGAGGUUUUGGUAAAAGUUCUUUGGAAUAGGACAUCAUAGAGGGUGAGAAUCCCGUAUUUGACCUUUACUUUCAACUUUGUGAUACACUUUCAAAGAGUCGGAUUGUUUGGGAAUGCAGUCCAAAAUGGGUGGUAAAUUUCAUCUAAAGCUAAAUAUUGGCGAGAGACCGAUAGCGAACAAGUACCGUGAGGGAAAGAUGUAAAGAACUUUGAAAAGAGAGUUAAACAGUACGUGAAAUUGUCAAAAGGGAAGCGUUUGACACCAGUGUUGUUUUUCUGAAAAUCAAUUAAAGAACUGUUUAUGCUAAGUUGUUUAGACUUUAUCAGGCUAACUGUUUAGUUUUGAGCUUUUCUUUAAUGCACUUUUCAGUUAACAAGUUAACAUCAAUUUCUUUUGCUGUAAAAAAGCUUGAGGAAGGUGGCUUGAGAUUCGUCUUAAGUGUUUAUAGCCUCUUGCCUAUGCAGUCGGAGAGAUUGAGGUCUGCAGCGUAGAUCCUUCGGGGCUAAAUGCAUUUGUGCUAAGUUAUAGCAUUUUAUAGACAACUUGUUGACUAUGAUUUGUCUUGUAGCUUACUCGCUUAUACUUAUUUUACCUACGCUUAGGAUGUUGAGCGCAUAUCUCUCUCU
RNAcentral lists this ribosomal RNA (776 nucleotides) under uncultured Neocallimastigales. RNAcentral describes it as "partial large subunit ribosomal RNA". It matches the Rfam family "Eukaryotic large subunit ribosomal RNA", at positions 23 to 616 of the family's 3401-position model. Lineage: Eukaryota; Fungi; Neocallimastigomycota; Neocallimastigomycetes; Neocallimastigales. The record is from RNAcentral.